GACGAACGCUGGCGGCGUGCUUAACACAUGCAAGUCGAACGGAAAGGCCCUGCUUUUGUGGGGUGCUCGAGUGGCGAACGGGUGAGUAACACGUGAGUAACCUGCCCUUGACUUUGGGAUAACUUCAGGAAACUGGGGCUAAUACCGGAUAGGAGCUCCUGCUGCAUGGUGGGGGUUGGAAAGUUUCGGCGGUUGGGGAUGGACUCGCGGCUUAUCAGCUUGUUGGUGGGGUAGUGGCUUACCAAGGCUUUGACGGGUAGCCGGCCUGAGAGGGUGACCGGCCACAUUGGGACUAAGAUACGGCCCAGAAUCCUACGGGAGGCAGCAGUGGGGAAUAUUGCACAAUGGGCGGAAGCCUGAUGCAGCAACGCCGCGUGCGGGAUGACGGCCUUCGGGUUGUAAACCGCUUUCGCCUGUGACGAAGCGUGAGUGACGGUAAUGGGUAAAGAAGCACCGGCUAACUACGUG
Molecule: ribosomal RNA, 468 nt
Filed under: uncultured bacterium
Lineage: Bacteria
Description: partial 16S ribosomal RNA
Rfam family: Bacterial small subunit ribosomal RNA
Source: RNAcentral